Molecule: ribosomal RNA, 253 nt
Filed under: uncultured bacterium
Lineage: Bacteria
Description: partial 16S ribosomal RNA
Rfam family: Bacterial small subunit ribosomal RNA
Source: RNAcentral
UACGAAGGGGGCUAGCGUUGCUCGGAAUCACUGGGCGUAAAGCGCACGUAGGCGGCUUUCUAAGUCAGGGGUGAAAUCCUGGAGCUCGACUCCGGAACUGCCCUUGAAACUGCAGUGCUAGAAUCCUGGAGAGGCGAGUGGAAUUCCGAGUGUAGAGGUGAAAUUCGUAGAUAUUCGGAAGAACACCAGUGGCGAAGGCGACUCGCUGGACAGGUAUUGACGCUGAGGUGCGAAAGCGUGGGGAGCAAACAGG